RNAcentral lists this ribosomal RNA (255 nucleotides) under uncultured bacterium. RNAcentral describes it as "partial 16S ribosomal RNA". It matches the Rfam family "Bacterial small subunit ribosomal RNA", at positions 524 to 776 of the family's 1533-position model. The record is from RNAcentral.
GACAGAGGGUGCAAACGUUUGUUCGGAAUUACUGGGCGUAAAGCGCGUGUAGGCGGCUAAGUAAGUCGGGCGUGAAAUCCCACGGCUCAACCGUGGAAGUGCACUCGAAACUGCAUAGCUAGAGCCCUGGAGAGGAAGGUGGAAUGCUUGGUGUAGCGGUGAAAUGCGCAGAUAUCAGGAGGAACACCGGUGGCGAAGGCGGGUCUCUGGGCCGAUACUGACGCUGGAGGAGCGAAAGCGUGGGGAGCGAACAGG